Molecule: small nuclear RNA, 107 nt
Filed under: Marmota monax (woodchuck)
Lineage: Eukaryota; Metazoa; Chordata; Mammalia; Rodentia; Sciuridae
Source: RNAcentral
GCUAUUGCCGGGAAUGCAUGUGUACUAAAAUUGGAAUAGUACAGAGGAGAUGAGCACGCUCCCUGCACAAGGAAGAUACGAAAAUUCAUGAAGUGUUAAAAAAAGAA